Molecule: non-coding RNA, 74 nt
Organism: Rhagoletis zephyria (snowberry fruit fly)
Lineage: Eukaryota; Metazoa; Arthropoda; Insecta; Diptera; Tephritidae
Source: the annotation of a RefSeq genome assembly
GGUUCUGUAGCUCAGUUGGUUAGAGCGUCGUGCUAAUAACGCGAAGGUCCAGCGUUCGAUCCGCUGUAGAACCA